CCAGUCGAGCCAGUCAGUGCAGUGAAGUAGGUACGAAUAGGUAUUAAGGUGAGAGCGAGCUCGAGCGAAGACCACCGAGGAGUGCGCGUACGCAACUUAAUUUCCGCCGCUAGUAUACCUCCCGGUCAUCCGAGGCGAACGGUUAGUACGAAUCUAGCGAGCAACCUGUUCGGUCGAACAAACGAGAAGUUCCAAGUGUAGUUACUGGCCGGUAGUGAUAAAAGUGUUUCUGUCUGAUAUCAUUUUUGUACCGUGUUGGGGAGCGUUUUGCGAUACGAGUCGAGUGGCUGCCCUCACAAGAUGAUGCAUGCUAAUUGAGGGGAAAGAAUACAACAAAAUCACUGCAAAUUGGUUCAAGAUAUCGCUCACGCAUCAGUGGGGCGCACAAGUGCAAUUAUCGUGUUUUCCGAGGUGCGUUUCGGCCAAGAGACGAGAAAAACGAGAUCGAGUGCGAUCGAUCGUCGGCGAGUGUCAGUGUUUGAGAAGAAGAAAAUGUGGCGAUUUCAAGUGCACCGGGCAAGCCUUGCGCUGGUGAGUUUGGUGGUCCUGCUGAUCAGUGUUGCCAGCUGGGCCGAUGGCACCGCCCUAGAACCACUGGAAGGCACCGCCUACUACGGGCGGCGGUUUCGCGGUGGCAGCAACGCCAACCGGAUGGUAUUCCCCACCGAAAAGGAACGCUACAACGUCAUCAGCAAGGAUGUGAAACGGGAGGCGGAAAGCGACGACGGCUGUUUCUAUGAUGAUAUCCCACUGGAGCUCGCCCUGCAGUUGGGCAAUAUCAGUACCAGCGACGACGUGUUCAAUCAGGGACUGGUCGAGGAGGACUCCAUCGAUCAUCGUAUCUUCAGUAAUGGAUAUGGUGAACGAUCUGGCGGGGAAGUGCCUAAGCCAGCCGGAUGCAACACGCAGGCAACGAUCGUGAGUCUUCGACCGGAGAACAACACCGAUCCUCGUCUAAUCUACAGUCCCUCAUGUACUCGAGUGGAUCGCUGCAGCGGGUGCUGCGUAUCGAAACGUCUGUCCUGUCAACCAACGUCAACUCGACUGAGGUCCUUCUCGGUCAACGUCCUCGAAUACGUAUCCGGCACCAAGACCCGUUUCAAGAACCGCGAUCUGGCUGUGAUCGAGGAGCACGUGGGCUGCGCUUGUCAGUGCCGUGUCAAGGAAGAACACUGCACUGCCCUGCAGAAGUACAACGCCCGCAACUGUCGGUGCGAGUGCAAGAACUUGGACGAUCGAUCCAAGUGUCUGCAGCAGAAUGAACUCAAGCAGUGGAACCCGGAAACGUGUCUGUGCGAAUGUCUGGAUCCGACGGACUGUACCAGCGGGUCAUACUACGAUCACAACUUCUGCAAGUGCCUACAGUACGACUUCUACAGCAUACAUUAACACAACAUGCACGCCAAAAGAAACCCAAUCGAACGCAUUACUUUUAUUCUCAUCACUGUUUAGUAGAGUAGUUAGUUAGACACUUAAUUCCUAAGAAAGAGAGCAUACAACUCUUACUAUUUAAGACAAUCAAUGUGCCAAAUCAAUACAUUAAUGCGAAACGAAUCGCUCGUGCUCGAAGCGAGUGACUGAGACUGGAAUUUAUUCAGAAGAAAUCCUAAACCUUCAUAACUUCGGUUUGCGCAUUAAACAUAAAAUAACCGGAACGGCAUCGGGUGCGUGUUGUUUGCUGUGUAUGUUAGUCAUGUUCGUCCGGCCAGGUUUUGAGUACGAUAUAGGGAGGUCGCAUCGCUACAAUUGGUUUUAAUAGGGGUUGCGUCGGCACGCGUUGGGUUCCUAUUCCAUCUAUUCGGCCACACGUUCCCGCAACCCCCAGUCGACGAUGGAUCGAAGACGCCUCAUCCUGAAGCCCGUUCCGUCGUUGUCCUAGUUGAAGUGAGCAACAAUAUGAUUAAGCUUAGGUUUGAACUACAAGGCAAUCCGCCUUUGAGCGUUGCGUGCAUCGAUUUGCGCGCACCAAGUGAUGCAGCAAACGAGCGAACGUCACAAUCAAAUCAAAUUUGUAUCGCGAAAAGAAACACGAGUAGUGAAACAACACACCACUAGACUACAUCAAUGAAGCAGAAAUCGACAGUACAAAUCACCAGGAUUGGGCAAAAAAGGAUUCAAGAAAAAAAAAACAAAGUUAUUUAUUAGUUGAGUUAGAUGAACAUAAAACAAGAAAGCAGGGACAUUCCUAAAAAGAUAUUGCUUUGAGUACAUUUCAAGAUUCGGGGCAUCGACGUGAAACCAAAAGGUCAGAAAGAGGUGAACAAUGCCAUACCUAAGCUCGCAGAAGAAUCGUGCACUUGCACUGGUGCACGCAAAUGCUACCCGUUUGGUUGCAAGCGGUCGCAGUGCGUCGGAAAGUUGUGGGCAAGGACAAGGAUGAGAAAAGGAUGUUUGUGUGUGAAUUUUUAUAUCCGAUUUAGAUUUUUUAUUAUCUACACGACCAUGUUUCGAACGCUCGUCUAGCAGUUCGCGAUGGAAAGCUAUUUAUUUCUACAUGUUUAGAUUACCGUAAUAAACAGUAUGACUCGACAGGGGGA
Armigeres subalbatus is the source of this 2537-nucleotide RNA transcript. RefSeq lists it as uncharacterized. Lineage: Eukaryota; Metazoa; Arthropoda; Insecta; Diptera; Culicidae. The transcript has 7 exons. The record is from RefSeq and is a predicted model, not a curated record.